AUUGGCAUACAGUCCUGCAAUGAGCUAUGCUAUGUGAAGAGUUCCCUUGAAGGUAACUGGUUUACAGACACACUGAAUUGAGCCGUGUCAGGCAGCCUGGCUAGGCUCCGCGUUCCCCUGACCCUCCCACUCAGCAGGGACUCCAGAUUGCCUCAUCCAGGGGGGCAGAAAAGAAUUGCCCUGGCUUUGCCCCCCGCAACAACUGCCUCUGCCUCAUUCAGAGCCCUGGACUUGGGCUGGGGAUGAAACAGGGCUAUGUCGAGAAGGAACCUGUUUUAAGAACCCUGCCACAUUUGUUACAAAUGCUGGAAGGGCAGGAGAUCAUGUCAAAUGCUGCAUAGGGCAGGAGAUCACAUCGGCAAAUCAUGUCAACAGAUUGAACUUGGACUGCAAGUUUUUCUAUCUGUUAUGUAAUUGUUCUCACAUUGUGGCUUACUACCUGUAAUUUAACUUAUAACUUGAGUGACAUCUUUAUCUAGAUUCAAAGAAAUUUUAAACCUUGAAAAGAGAAACAGAGCCAGCAGAAACUUUCUGUACAUUUCCCACACCACUCACUAUCAAUCACAUUAUAAACACCAAGGAAAACCCUUCAAGAUUAGUACUCAGCUGAUCUAAAAACCACACGGUGCUAGUUGUGAAUGGAAAUUCACUGACAUUUUCUUUUCAUAGUUCCCCUAAAUUCCUGAAGAAUAAGAUGAUAUGCUCGGUAUUUUUCCAGAAAUAGAGGUUAAAAAAUAUGUCAGACAAUCUAGAAAUGAACAAAUAUAUACCCAGAGAAAGGGUAUUUCAUGUGCCUCCCAGUUUCAUUAUCAGUGACUGCCUGAGAUGACUAAGGCUUCCAGCAGCUAUUUCUUGACAAAGGACAGGUAAAUGUGCCAUUAUUUUGGCACAGUUCAGUAUAGCCUCAAAUGUUUAGCAGUGUAUGUAAACUUCUGAACCCAACUGAAAUGUUUUUCAUUUUUAAAUGUUCCUGGCUUUGUGUCAUUAGAUUAUCAGUAUGUGACUAUCACCUUCGUGCACAAGCCAGAAGGGAUACCACCACCAUGAAUUAAAAAGUAACUGCCAUGAAUAGGUGACGAAUUGUGAACUUCUGGCUGCCUAUUUUACACAAGUUAUCCUCUAAAUUGCACACAAAA
Mauremys reevesii (Reeves's turtle) is the source of this 1136-nucleotide long non-coding RNA. RefSeq lists it as uncharacterized. The transcript is spliced from 4 exons. Lineage: Eukaryota; Metazoa; Chordata; Testudines; Geoemydidae. The record is from RefSeq and is a predicted model, not a curated record.